GUUGUCAUACUUGGUUUUUCACUGUGCUUGGUUGUUUUAAUGUAACUUAGAGGUUUGGGUGCUUUUUUUAGAGUGUUCUUGGUCAUGCUUGGGUUUGGAACUUAGGGGUCAUGUGGGUUGGAUGUUGGAAGUGAAGUUGUGCAUAUUCUGCUGUGGUAAUCGUUUACCACACCCUCGUAAACGAUUACCAGAAUCAUUUCAGUCAUUUGGACACAAACUCUGACAGAGGGAUCCCCUAUGUUGUUCCUAGAGGACCAGGGUUCUCAUACUUGGUUUUUCACUAUGCUUGGUUGUUUUAAUGUUGUGUUAUUGGAUAAUAAUUUUGGUCAAAUUAAUGAUGGAUACAACACACAAAUUGCAUUACUUAACCGAACUUCAUUCAUCCAAACAAAGUUUGAUCCAUACAUUCAUUACGAUAACUUCCAUAUUGACUACAACACUAAACAAAUACAAAAGAUUGCAACACUAAAAUGUAAAUUAAAACACAAAUAGAGUUCUUCAUGUCCACAAACAAUGAUAAACACCACAUUUCAAAGGUUAGGAGGAGCGUUAUCAAAGCGCAUCCGCAAGUGCUGCAGUUCCUCCUCCAUGCUUCCAAUGGCCGUUUCGAUGUUUCCAAAUUGAGUUGUGAAGUUGUCAAAGAUAACAAUGUGGAUAGAAAUAGUUAGGUUUCCCUAAAAUUAAAAACUUUUACAAAUAACAAAUGGACCAUAAUACCCAACCUUCAAAAAACCCUCAAAAACGAAGAACGAAUGUGAGGCAACGACACCCAACGAACAAGAAAACGAUUCCGACAGCCAAGAGUCCGACAGCGAGAUUAGCAACCUUCCGAGAGCAAGAUUCGGAGAGCAAAAAACACCACGAUUCCGAUACCACAGUGAGAAGGCAAAAGCGCAAGAGAGCGAGAAGGAGAAACAGAGCAAGAGAGCGAGAAGGCAAAAAGGCAAAGUCUGAAACCGUGCUCAAUGAAAGGCACCAACUAUAAAAUUUUCAUUCGAAAACCAUUACCCAAAGUACCCCUCACUUCCCAUUAUGCCCCUCACUUAAGUGACAUUCUCUCACCGUUUUUCAGCCACUGAGGACACGCCAUGUGGCGUUGUCAAAAGUG
RNAcentral lists this long non-coding RNA (1108 nucleotides) under Vigna radiata. RNAcentral's name for it is "long non-coding RNA (VRAD_LNC013882)". The record is from RNAcentral. Lineage: Eukaryota; Viridiplantae; Streptophyta; Magnoliopsida; Fabales; Fabaceae.